AGCUACUGACACCCGGAGCAGGGGGCCUUGCUUUGCACAGCCCAUCUCACCAUGUGGGUCUAAGGCCUUUGUCACUGGCUUACAGGAGGGAUAUGAAGGAGAAGGCUUGAGCAGGCCUGGAGUGUGGCGAGCAGUUUAGUGGAACAUUCUUGGAAGAGUUUGGAAGAGCGGAAUCCAAAAAAGCUAAAGCUCCAUGGCCAAACUUCACAGACUUUGAGGAGAGAAGGAUCAUGGGAAAGAUGGCGAGACAGGUGGAGGAGAAAGAAGAAGAGCUGCCAUGGGAUCAGGAAAAGAAGUUGAUAAACCUUUUUCUCAAGUUGAGUUUAUGAAGAACUACUUCUUUGGGCACGAGCUUGUGGCAUAUUGUACCUAAGAACCACUGGGGACCCAUAGAAGAGUUCAAGUUGUAUUACAGAGUGAUAGCAAUGAAAACAGCAUGCGAUUGCCAUAAAAACAAAUGUGUCGGUCAAUAGAAAAGAACUGAAGACCAAGACAUAAUUUCCCAUACCUAUCAGUUCCUGAAAAGAAAAACAAAACAAACAACAAACAAACAAACCAGAAGAAGCAGAGUAGGAGAUAACUGUAAGGAACGGAGUCAUCCAGGACAGUCCUGAUUUGGUACAUACGUGCACUCAGAGACUGUGGUAGCACACAUAGGGCUUGCACAGGUUUAUAACAGAUGGAACUCCAGGCCUGAGAAGAUGAAGCGGGCACAAAGCCCAUCUCUAACACAAGAAGCUAUUUGCAGUUGAUGCUUUCUGGGUAAAAGAAACUCAUUUUGUGUAUUGGAAUUUCACUGGUUAUAUCAACUACAUUCCAGGACAAGCCCCAUGGCCAGGAGUUGUUGGCCUGUUCAAAGCAGACUCUGCGUUCUCUUGUGCGUCUUUUGAUUUUGUUUCGUUUGGGUUAUUUUUCUUUUUGUCUUGUCAGUUUCGUUUGGGCGUUUUUGCCUCACUUGUUUUGUUUGUUUGCUUGGCUGUAUUUUGUGAGAGAAAAACGAACAUAAAUUUGGGUGGGUGGGGAAGUGGAGAGGUGGGAGGGAGGCUCUGUGAGGACCGAAACAUA
Long non-coding RNA from Meriones unguiculatus (Mongolian gerbil), 1065 nucleotides. RefSeq lists it as uncharacterized. NCBI's taxonomy places the organism in Eukaryota, Metazoa, Chordata, Mammalia, Rodentia, Muridae. The record is from RefSeq and is a predicted model, not a curated record. The transcript has 4 exons.